CCUACGGUGUUCCGCCGUUCUUACUAUUUUUCCCUUUCCUCCCUCCUGCCCCCGCCCUGUCGCGUGAGGGAAUAAGGCCCUACGGGUCGUAAACCUCUUUUGCCGGGGAGUAAGUGCGGGGACGUGUCCCGGCCCGGAGAGUACCUGGAGAAAAAGCAUCGGCUAACUCCGUGCCAGCAGCCGCGGUAAUACGGAGGAUGCGAGGGUGAUCCGGUUUUUUGGGGUUUAAGGGUUGGGUAGGCGUGCUUUUAGGUCAGCGGUAAAAAUUCGGGGCUCAACCCCGUCCGGCCGGUGAGACUGGGGGCCUUGAGUGGUCGAGAAGAAGGCGGAAUGCGUGGUGUAGCGGUGAAAUGCAUAGAUAUCACGCAGAACACCGAUUGCGAAGGCAGCCUUCCGGCGCACUACUGACGCUGAGGCACGAAAGUGCGGGGAUCGAACAGGAUUAGAUACCCCGGUAGUC
Molecule: ribosomal RNA, 460 nt
Filed under: uncultured bacterium
Lineage: Bacteria
Description: partial 16S ribosomal RNA
Rfam family: Bacterial small subunit ribosomal RNA
Source: RNAcentral